CCGGGCUGGACGGUUGGGAAGGAAGGUCGUGGACAACAAAGUAAUGAACAAAAAUAUGUUUCACGCAUGAGAAGCUGUCCGAGAUGGCAGUGAGGGAGAGGUCAUGGCAAACGGUGUUUAUGGCAUGGAAAAGUGAAGAUUCAAAAAAAAACCCAAGGAGAGGCCAAGAUAGUGUGGAAAAUAUCCACCCCCUCCCAGAGACAGCUCAUUAGGAAGGUUUUGGAGGGAGACUCGCAGGAGGUCAGGGGCUGCUGUGUUAUCUUUGGAGGAAAGGCCAUCCCUUCUCUUCCCCUCCGCAGACGUAUCCAGUGAGACAACUCUCUCCCCAGCAAGCUUUUCUCAGGGAGCAGGCAGUUUCUUGAAAAAAUGAACCAGAUGAGGAUCCACCCACCUCCAGAAACAAAGACUGUGGCUGUCUCCAAGAAUGAAGCACCAGUCUCUUAGUUGGUAUCCCCAGGAGACCAAGUGAGUAGGUAUUACAAAUAUAAUCAGGGAAAAGAAGCUAUUUUAAAAAAUCGGUCAUUGGGCAGGAUGUUCCAAAGGGCAGAUGAAUGUAACUUCCAAGAUGAAGUAACCGGAUGUCUGUCAACUCAGAAAACAAGGUCCAUGCAGGAGACCUCUCCAGGUACACAUAUUUCCUGCUACUGAAUGGCUUAGACUGGGAUUUGCAAGGAACUACGAAGUCCAAGACCUUUGCCUUUCUUUUAGAAGAAGGCACCAGCUGGUUCUCCAAUGUUGAAGGUCUUCUCCAGAGAUACCUUAAGGUGUGGGGAGAUUACAACUUGCUCAAGGUCUCAUAGCUAGAAGAUGUCAGAGUGAUAACUCAAACCAUGUCACAUGACUCUAAGCCCAAAGCAGCCUCUAGAAGGUUGUUUGAUCUUCUGAUGGAAGCACAAAUCACCAUUCCAACAUGAAAGAUGGAGAAACUUAAGUCUAGAGAGAUUUAAAGGACUUGUCAAAGGCAAUGAAACAAG
Molecule: long non-coding RNA, 974 nt
Filed under: Homo sapiens (human)
Lineage: Eukaryota; Metazoa; Chordata; Mammalia; Primates; Hominidae
Description: non-protein coding lnc-SLC39A11-1:25
Source: RNAcentral